Molecule: ribosomal RNA, 121 nt
Filed under: Methanomassiliicoccales archaeon
Lineage: Archaea; Methanobacteriati; Thermoplasmatota; Thermoplasmata; Methanomassiliicoccales
Source: RNAcentral
UUUGACGGCCAUCGCGGCGGGGAUACGCCUGGUCUCGUCCGAUCCCAGAAGCUAAGCCCGCCCGCGUUCCCUGUGUUACUGUGGUGCGCGAGCCCACGGGAAGCCCGGAACGCUGUCAGCC